CUACGGGGGGCACCAGUGAGGAAUAUUGCACAAUGGGGGGAACCCUGAUGCAGCAACGCCGCGUGGAGGAUGACGCAUUUCGGUGUGUAAACUCCUUUUAUAUGUCAAGAAAAUGACGGUAGCAUAUGAAUAAGCACCGGCUAACUCCGUGCCAGCAGCCGCGGUAAUACGGAGGGUGCAAGCGUUACUCGGAAUCACUGGGCGUAAAGGACGCGUAGGCGGGUUGGAAAGUCAGGUGUGAAAUCCUACAGCUUAACUGUAGAACUGCACUUGAAACUUCUAAUCUAGAGUAUGGGAGGGGGAGAUGAAAUUAGUGGUGUAGGGGUAAAAUCCGUAGAUAUCACUAGGAAUACCUAAAGCGAAGGCGAUCUCCUGGAACAUUACUGACGCUAAGGCGUGAAAGCGUGGGGAGCAAACAGGAUUAAUACCCUAGUAGUC
RNAcentral lists this ribosomal RNA (438 nucleotides) under uncultured bacterium. Its description in RNAcentral is "partial 16S ribosomal RNA". It matches the Rfam family "Bacterial small subunit ribosomal RNA", at positions 339 to 795 of the family's 1533-position model. The record is from RNAcentral.